UAGCCCUGACGAUUUCCAUGGCCACAUUACGGGUGCCUUUCAGUAUGUUGGCGGUGCUCUACGAUUUUGUUUCGCUGCCGUUGCGAAACAUGUGAGCACUGUACAGCACGAGCUACCAUGCACAGCCGGCAUGGCGUAUCACACCCGAGCAAGGCAUCCAGAGGUCAGCAGAGCAAGAGGAAUAGACGGAAAAGGUGCGAAGAGAUGCAUAGGAAUCAACGCCACAGCGCAUGCGUGCGAAAUGUGCAGCAUCUCCUUCAUCCGACCGGGUGGACUGAUGAGGCGCAGAUGCCGGAAGCGCGACGAGGGCACGCCACGCGUUGCACCAUCGAGACCUCGAGGCUCCCAUGUGAAGAGUCCACGCACCACAUUCUGGGGUGCCGCGGCUUGAAGCGCCUCAGAGGGCGGAGCAAGGCAUAUAGGCAGGGUGUGCAGAGGGCUGCAGCGAGGGCCCUGGCCUGCAGCUGGCCAGCUUCCUUCUCGAGCGUACCCGGCAUGCACCUUCAUCAACCCCUACUACUCGCACGGUCGACGCCACCGCCUCCGCCCUCGAGCAGGGCCCUGGAGGCGGCCGGCGUUGGAUCAAGGCAAGCAGAGCCCGUACAACGCAUGGCCCGGAUGCGACGGCAGGACGGUUCGUCCUAGACGGCGAGGUUGUAGCCGUAUUCCUGCAAAGGCAGGUGGGCUGUGGGUGCUUGUGUGUGUGUGUGUGUCUACUUGUUGACCUGUUCGUUGGUGGCAUGGGCACGCUGUUGUGCGAAAAAAAAAAAGGAAACUUCUCGUUUUUCUCACAGGGUGCUUUCGUUGUUAUGUUGUCGCUCUUUGCUUGUAUUGCUGCACUCGCUUGUCUGGAGACUUGCGUCCUCUCUCCACCUGUCACAUGGACACAUACAUACACGUGCACGCAUACUCAGGUGUGCGGCCGACUCUUGUGAGAGUGCGCGGUGCCUUUCGUCUUCGGCAGUCCUGUUCGAGGUUGCCGCACCGUCUUUCAAGCCUCCCGUGCAUUCUCUCCCUCUAAGGCGGUCGAUUUUCUUGUGGUCUUCUUGCUGGUUGCGGAGUUGCCCACAUC
Molecule: unclassified non-coding RNA, 1072 nt
Filed under: Leishmania donovani
Lineage: Eukaryota; Euglenozoa; Kinetoplastea; Trypanosomatida; Trypanosomatidae
Description: gene:unknown
Source: RNAcentral